UUACAAGUGUCACACGGAACUGCCGGUCAUAAACCGGAGGAAGGUGGGGAUGACGUCAAGUCAGCAUGGCCUUUAUAUCCUGGGCUACACACACGCUACAAUGGGAAGGGACAAUAGGUUGCGAAGCCGCGAGGCGGAGCCAAUCCAGCAAACUUCCCUCAGUUCAGAUUGCAGGCUGCAACUCGCCUGCAUGAAGUUGGAGUUGCUAGUAAACGCAGGUCAGCCAUACUGCGUUGAAUACGUUCCCGGGGCUU
RNAcentral lists this ribosomal RNA (254 nucleotides) under uncultured Anaerolineaceae bacterium. RNAcentral's name for it is "partial 16S ribosomal RNA". It matches the Rfam family "Bacterial small subunit ribosomal RNA", at positions 1125 to 1382 of the family's 1533-position model. The record is from RNAcentral. Lineage: Bacteria; Bacillati; Chloroflexota; Anaerolineae; Anaerolineales; Anaerolineaceae.